UGUUCGUUAUUUAGGGCGCAUGGUGGAUGCCUUGGCAUGCUGAGCCGAUGAAGGACGUGUAAGGCUGCGUUAAGCCUCGGGGAGUUGUCAAUAAAGCGUUGAUCCGAGGAUAU
Molecule: ribosomal RNA, 113 nt
Filed under: Corynebacterium aurimucosum
Lineage: Bacteria; Bacillati; Actinomycetota; Actinomycetes; Mycobacteriales; Corynebacteriaceae
Description: partial 23S ribosomal RNA
Rfam family: Bacterial large subunit ribosomal RNA
Source: RNAcentral